CCUACGGGUGGCAGCAGUGAGGAAUAUUGGUCAAUGGACGAGAGUCUGAACCAGCCAAGUAGCGUGAAGGAUGACUGCCCUAUGGGUUGUAAACUUCUUUUAUAUGGGAAUAAAAUGUUCCACGUGUGGGAUUUUGUAUGUACCAUAUGAAUAAGGAUCGGCUAACUCCGUGCCAGCAGCCGCGGUAAUACGGAGGAUCCGAGCGUUAUCGGGAUUUAUUGGGUUUAAAGGGAGCGUGGGUGGAUUGUUAAGUCAGUUGUGAAAGUUUGCGGCUCAACCGUAAAAUUGCAGUUGAAACUGGCAGUCUUGAGUACAGUAGAGGUGGGCGGAAUUCGUGGUGUAGCGGUGAAAUGCUUAGAUAUCACGAAGAACUCCGAUUGCGAAGGCAGUUCACUGGACUGCAACUGACACUGAGGCUCGAAAGUGUGGGUAUCAAACAGGAUUAGAUACCCGAGUAGUC
This 460-nucleotide ribosomal RNA is filed under the name uncultured bacterium. RNAcentral describes it as "partial 16S ribosomal RNA". It matches the Rfam family "Bacterial small subunit ribosomal RNA", at positions 338 to 795 of the family's 1533-position model. The record is from RNAcentral.